AUGAAGGAGACCGGCUGGCUGGUGGCGGCGGUGGCGUCCGCCGCGGUGCCCGCCGUCCUUUUCUACCUCGGCUUCGUGAGGCGCGUCACGGGGGCUUCGCGCACCGUCUUCCGUCGCCGAGAGGCCGGGCGGGCCGAAGGGACGGGAAGGCCGCCGGCCGACGGGUGGGUCCCCAGACUCUCUGGCUUCCUUCUGCGGCUUGUUGUACAUUUGGCCAACACUGCUCUUGGACAACUUUUUUUAGUGCCUCUUUUAAUGCAAACCAACAACUUUACCCUUCUGCGCUACCUUGAUAUUGCUGAAGACCCCACUUUUGUGCCAGUAGUUGCUGAUAAAGAAAAAAGUGAGCAUUCAAAAGCCAGCAAUGUAUCAGAGAUUCUGCAUAAGCUGAUGGAGACAAGCUCUCAUUCUGCUAGCCCGACCUUCAGGUUCAAAGGGAUCCAGGAUUAUUUGAAUUGCUAUCGGUAAGUGAAUUUGAAGGGGUCCCUUCCUGCUGAAAUUUCUGUACUUGAGGUCAUGGUCCUUUUUCGUGUGAUGAAAGUGACUUUGUUUUUUAUACAAGAUAAACAUUAUGAACCUUUCUUUUUUUUUCUAUCAAGAGAAAAACAAACUACUCUUAAGAAUAUUUUUGUUUCAUAUGAAACAUUGGCAAAAAUACUGUUGCUUAGUAUAGUAAAUCACAUUAGAGUAGGCCUAUGGAAUCAGUGGGGAUUUAGGGAAUCACCUGCUCCAUACAUUCCAUUGAUUUGAACGGCAUACUUCAAUUAUGACUUACUAUGCUAAAGUAAAUCAUUGUCAGAGGAGGCCCAUUUGAAUCAAUGACAUGGAACAGUUGACUCACUAAGUUCCAAUUGAUUCAGUGGAAUUUAUUAUGCUAAGCAACAGGAUUUUGGCCACUAUCUUAUUUAUAGCAUUUAGAGUCUAAUAAUAGCAGAUUUUGUAACCAUUUUUAUUUUACUUUAUUUUGUUUUAUUUUUUGGAGAAGAAACUCUCUGCAACAAAAAUAGCACUUCUGUGCUGUUUUGAAUUCUGCUUUGCUACAACACACACACGUCUAAAAUCAGGCUUAUAACCUUCCAGAAACAGAAAUAGAAGUUUGGGCCAAACUCAAAUCUUGGAACACAAAGAGCUAAUAAUGUUUUGUAAUUACUUUGGAUUGGAGGGGUGAUAAUACAUUCACAGUCGCACAGUGGAACACCAAGAUAAAGCACUGAGAUCUUGUGGAAAAGUCACAUACAAAACCCGUGUUUUAAGAAAUGCUAGUAGCAAAAAUGAUUUUUUUUAAAAAAUCUCUUUUUCUUUUAUUGAUUAUAUAAGUUGAAGCAAAUGUACCAAAGGUUGUGCCUGUUACAAAAUCUGAUAGAAAUAAAUAAGUGUUGAACAGAUUAGAAAGCUUCUGA
RNAcentral lists this long non-coding RNA (1400 nucleotides) under Pogona vitticeps (central bearded dragon). RNAcentral's name for it is "lncRNA (ENSPVIG00000002747.1)". The record is from RNAcentral. Lineage: Eukaryota; Metazoa; Chordata; Lepidosauria; Squamata; Agamidae.